AGUGAACGCUGGCGGUAGGCCUAACACAUGCAAGUCGAACGGCAGCACAGUAAGAGCUUGCUCUUACGGGUGGCGAGUGGCGGACGGGUGAGGAAUACAUCGGAAUCUACUUUUUCGUGGGGGAUAACGUAGGGAAACUUACGCAAAUACCGCAUACGACCUACGGGUGAAAGCAGGGGAUCUUCGGACCUUGCGCGAUUGAAUGAGCCGAUGUCGGAUUAGCUAGUUGGCGGGGUAAAGGCCCACCAAGGCGACGAACCGUAGCUGGUCUGAGAGGAUGAUCAGCCACACUGGAACUGAGACACGGUCCAGACUCCUACGGGAGGCAGCAGUGGGGAAUAUUGGACAAUGGGCGCAAGCCUGAUCCAGCCAUACCGCGUGGGUGAAGAAGGCCUUCGGGUUGUAAAGCCCUUUUGUUGGGAAAGAAAAGCAGCAGGUUAAUACCCCGCUGUUCUGACGGUACCCAAAGAAUAAGCACCGGCUAACUUCGUG
This 492-nucleotide ribosomal RNA is filed under the name uncultured bacterium. Its description in RNAcentral is "partial 16S ribosomal RNA". It matches the Rfam family "Bacterial small subunit ribosomal RNA", at positions 29 to 507 of the family's 1533-position model. The record is from RNAcentral.